AUUGAACGCUGGCGGCAGGCCUAACACAUGCAAGUCGAACGAGUGGCGGACGGGUGAGUAAUGUCUGGGAAACUGCCUGAUGGGGGGGGAUAACUACUGGAAACGGUAUCUAAUACCGCAUACCCUCAGAUUUUCCCAGAUGGGAUUAGCUAGUUGGUGGGGUAACGGCUCACCAAGGCGACGAUCCCUAGCUGGUCGGAGAGGAUGACCGGCCACACUGGAACUGAGAAAAGGUCCAGACGCCUACGGGAGGCAGCAGGGGGGAAUAUUGCAAAAUGGGCGAAAGCCGGAUGCAGACAUGCCGCGUGUAGGAAGAAGGCCUUCGGGUGGUAAAGUACUUUCAGCGGGGAGGCGUUACCCGCAGAAGAAGCAACGGCUAACUCCGUGCCAGCCGCCGCGGUAAUUC
Molecule: ribosomal RNA, 406 nt
Filed under: uncultured bacterium
Lineage: Bacteria
Description: partial 16S ribosomal RNA
Rfam family: Bacterial small subunit ribosomal RNA
Source: RNAcentral